AAUCAUUGUCACCUGACCCAUUGGUGCCCCCUGGCACCAGCUGUGUUUAAAUGCAGUGCAAUAGGAACUCCCUGCUUCUACAAGGACUUGGCCUGCUAUGGGCUGCUCCUCCCCACAGCUGGGCCUUU
Molecule: small nucleolar RNA, 128 nt
Organism: Bison bison bison
Lineage: Eukaryota; Metazoa; Chordata; Mammalia; Artiodactyla; Bovidae
Source: Ensembl